This 460-nucleotide ribosomal RNA is filed under the name uncultured bacterium. Its description in RNAcentral is "partial 16S ribosomal RNA". It matches the Rfam family "Bacterial small subunit ribosomal RNA", at positions 338 to 795 of the family's 1533-position model. The record is from RNAcentral.
CCUACGGGAGGCUGCAGUGAGGAAUAUUGGUCAAUGGACGAGAGUCUGAACCAGCCAAGUAGCGUGAAGGAUGACUGCCCUAUGGGUUGUAAACUUCUUUUAUAUGGGAAUAAAACGUUCCACGUGUGGGAUUUUGUAUGUACCAUAUGAAUAAGGAUCGGCUAACUCCGUGCCAGCAGCCGCGGUAAUACGGAGGAUCCGAGCGUUAUCCGGAUUUAUUGGGUUUAAAGGGAGCGUAGGUGGAUUGUUAAGUCAGUUGUGAAAGUUUGCGGCUCAACCGUAAAAUUGCAGUUGAAACUGGCAGUCUUGAGUACAGUAGAGGUGGGCGGAAUUCGUGGUGUAGCGGUGAAAUGCUGAGAUAUCACGAAGAACUCCGAUUGCGAAGGCAGUUCACUGGACUGCAACUGACACUGAGGCUCGAAAGUGUGGGUAUCAAACAGGAUUAGAUACCCCUGUAGUC